GUGUGGGGCUCAUUCCACGAGUUCCGUGCCGCAGCAAACGCAUUAAGUGCCCCGCCUGGGGAGUACGGCCGCAAGGCUAAAACUCAAAGAAAUUGACGGGGGCCCGCACAAGCGGCGGAGCAUGCGGAUUAAUUCGAUGCAACGCGAAGAACCUUACCAAGGCUUGACAUACACCGGUAACGUGCAGAGAUGUGCGCCCCGCAAGGUCGGUGUACAGGUGGUGCAUGGUUGUCGUCAGCUCGUGUCGUGAGAUGUUGGGUUAAGUCCCGCAACGAGCGCAACCCUCGUCCCAUGUUGCCAGCGGGUUAUGCCGGGGACUCAUGGGAGACUGCCGGGGUCAACUCGGAGGAAGGUGGGGAUGACGUCAAAUCAUCAUGCCCCUUAUGUCUUGGGCUUCACGCAUGCUACAAUGGCCGGUACAAAGGGCUGCGAUACCGCGAGGUGGAGCGAAUCCCAAAAAGCCGGUCUCAGCUCGGAUUGGGGUCUGCAACUCGACCCCAUGAAGUCGGAGUCGCUAGUAAUCGCAGAUCAGCAACGCUGCGGUGAAUACGUUCCCGGGCCUUGUACACACCGCCCGUCAAGUCACGAAAGUCGGUAACACCCGAAGCCGGUGGCCCAACCCCUUGUGGGAGGGAGCUGUCGAAGGUGGGGCUG
RNAcentral lists this ribosomal RNA (654 nucleotides) under uncultured bacterium. RNAcentral's name for it is "bacterial SSU rRNA". It matches the Rfam family "Bacterial small subunit ribosomal RNA", at positions 820 to 1470 of the family's 1533-position model. The record is from RNAcentral.